RNAcentral lists this long non-coding RNA (2033 nucleotides) under Canis lupus familiaris (dog). Its description in RNAcentral is "lncRNA (ENSCAFG00000056402.1, ENSCAFG00845015305.1)". The record is from RNAcentral. Lineage: Eukaryota; Metazoa; Chordata; Mammalia; Carnivora; Canidae.
AUAGAAAUGACUUAUAUUUUUAAAAAUAUUAAUAUUUAGGCAUGUAUUACCUAGCUGAAUUUAAUAUAUUCUUAUUCCAGAUCCUGAGACAAACCAAAAACCGCUUAUGAUAGUUAAAUGUGUCCUAAGACUAGCUGAAAUUGAAAAAACCAUUUGCUGUCAGAAAAAAGUCACCUCUCAUUAAAGAUCAUUUCUCUCAUUCCUCCAAACCAAAUUAUUUAAGCUUAAAAAUAGCAAAAGGACCUUAUGAAAAAAACAUAUAAAUGCUAAAAAUCCCAGCUUGAGGUUUCAACCACUAUUCUUAACAUACCUUCAGAGGGUUUUGACUGUCAUUACUACAAAUAGAAGACUUCCAGGAAGGAAUUAUUCAACAAAAAGAAGUCUUUUAUUUUCUCUACAAAUUUGGGACAUCAGGAGAAAGAUGAGAGUAAAUAUAAUUCCAAUUUUCCUCAGUUGCCAAGUUGUAUACUAGGCUAUCCUGUAUCUGUUAUGAUUGUUGUUUUCAGAUACGGAAUGUUAAACUAGGUGUUGAAUUUCUAAAAAGAUGACAUUCCUAAAAAGGAAAGGUCACAUCGUAGACAGUGCCAUGAACUGAGCUGCUUGAAUGGAAGUAGAAGAGGGAGGGCUUGAGGUAGCCGUGAAAUUGAGCUCAACUGAUUAAUUUGUUAAGUAUUUCUUGAAUGCUAGGCAUUGUUCUAGGCACUGCUGGGCUACAAGUGAUCAAGACAGACUUGUUCUCUGCAACCACAGAGCUUAUAUUCCAUUUGGGGUGGUAGAUAAUGAACAAAUGAAUGAUCAGAGUAGAUUCAGACAGUGAUACGUACAACGAAAAAACACAACAGGAUGAUAUAACAGUGUCGUAAGGAAAAGGGUGGCUAAAAAAAGACCCGGGGGGUGGGGGUGACACGAAGCAGAGGCCUAAAUGACACAAGGGACUAGCUUUACUGUAAUGUAGGGAAAGAAUGUGCCAGCAAAGACCUUUAGGCUGGAGUGAGCUAGUAUGCUUGUUUGAGGACAGUAGAAAGGCCAGUAUGAUGGAAGUAUGGCAAAGAAGCCAUGUGGCUAAGAUGAAACAGCAAAGGAUGGGAAGGGUCAGACCUGUAGGCCAUGGGAUGGAGUUCAGGGUUUAAUCUGACUGAAGAUUGGACCCCUCACUUUUGGCUUUAUCAAUUCUGGUUGUAAUGUAUAUAAUCUGCUUUCAUUGUGCACCUGUUCUUAGGGUGUAGCUUUAGGUCCAUAUUCCCUCCUUUCACUUGUCCUAACUGCUGUUCUGAAGAAUCCACCAUCUUUCAAACAGGAAGAUUUAAUGCCUUUGAGGGAUUAUUUGGAGAAAAUAUACACCCUCUGUAAUAACCCUUCCUUAAAAAGUAUAACUGUUCCUUAUGUGUCUAUUUUGCAACUAAUAGUGUACCAGUUCAGAAACAAAAAUCUAAAUAUGAGAAGCUUUAUUUCCUCUCUUAUGGUGUUGGUGCCAGGGACAACUUAUCAAUGUGGCACAAGAUCUAGGGCCCUCAAUACUUUAAGGGGAUCAUAAAAAUGUUUCAACUUAUCUUAAAAUUGAAAGAAGCAAAUGAACUUUUAGGUUAGAGAAAAUGAGUAAUAUUAAUAUGUUCUAUUAUAUUCAUUUUUAUACCAAUGCAGUUUUAAAAUGUUAAAUAUUUUUGAUGGAAGAAACCCAUAAAGGCAGAGUGCAUAGGGCCCAUGAAAGUGAUAAUACAGUUCCAUUGGUUCCUAUAUAGUAAUAGAUAUCAAAGUACUCUUUACUCUUAAAUAUAAUUAUUAUUCUCUUAGAAAAACAUUUUAUUUUGUUCAUUCUAGUUUAUUGAUUUAGUGAACUUAAACUAUUUGAAUAGUAAACCCUUUUUUUUUUUAUAAAAGCUUUAAUUUAUUUAUUUGAGAGAGAGCGCACAGAGGGAGAGGGAGAAGCAGAUUCUCAGCUGAGCAGAGAGCCAGACAUGGGGCUCAAUCCCAGGACCCUGAGAUCAUGACCUGAGCUAAAGGCAGAUGCUUAACUGACUAAGCCACCCAGGUAC